AGAGGAGUGGCAGAGCGGUUGAAUGCAUCGGUCUUGAAAACCGACAGCCCUUCACGGGGCUCGGGGGUUCGAAUCCCUCCUCCUCUG
This 87-nucleotide transfer RNA is filed under the name Cyclobacteriaceae bacterium. Its description in RNAcentral is "tRNA-Ser". It matches the Rfam family "tRNA". Rfam says of the family: Transfer RNA (tRNA) molecules are approximately 80 nucleotides in length. Their secondary structure includes four short double-helical elements and three loops (D, anti-codon, and T loops). Further hydrogen bonds mediate the characteristic L-shaped molecular structure. tRNAs have two regions of fundamental functional importance: the anti-codon, which is responsible for specific mRNA codon recognition, and the 3' end, to which the tRNAs corresponding amino acid is attached (by aminoacyl-tRNA synthetases). tRNAs cope with the degeneracy of the genetic code in two manners: having more than one tRNA (with a specific anti-codon) for a particular amino acid; and 'wobble' base-pairing, i.e. permitting non-standard base-pairing at the 3rd anti-codon position. The record is from RNAcentral. Lineage: Bacteria; Pseudomonadati; Bacteroidota; Cytophagia; Cytophagales; Cyclobacteriaceae.